Molecule: long non-coding RNA, 126 nt
Organism: Pipistrellus kuhlii (Kuhl's pipistrelle)
Lineage: Eukaryota; Metazoa; Chordata; Mammalia; Chiroptera; Vespertilionidae
Exons: 2
Source: RefSeq, a predicted model, not a curated record
GUCAAGGGCAUAGACCUCGGUUGGAGGCUCCUCCCAGCACCUGGCCCCGGUCGGGGCGCGUGCAGGCAGCAACCCAUCGAUGUGCUUCUCUCCCAUCGAUAUUUCUCUCUGUCUCUCCCUCUCUCU